This is a long non-coding RNA of Oncorhynchus tshawytscha (Chinook salmon), 2515 nucleotides long. RefSeq lists it as uncharacterized. The transcript is spliced from 14 exons. Lineage: Eukaryota; Metazoa; Chordata; Actinopteri; Salmoniformes; Salmonidae. The record is from RefSeq and is a predicted model, not a curated record.
GACCUUGCAGAGUCGGCGAGGUUUCCGAGCCCGAAAGUUAAAACCGGAAUAGUUCCGGUGGAAAGACACGUCACACAGACCACAAGAGCAAACGCUCAGCGCCGCAAUACUGGUCGACCGAACCGAGGAUCACCCAGAUCAUGCCUUCCCAUACCAUAACCCCACCGCCGCCAUGGGGCCCUCUGUUCACAACGUUGACAUCAGCAAACCACUGGCCCACAUGACGCCAUACAGAUGGUCUGCGGUUGUGAGGCCCGGUUGAACGUGCUGCCAAAUGCAGUGAAGACGCGUGCAGCGAUGUCAUCCAGUAGCCAGUCUACUCCGGUGAGUAGGUUCUCUCCUGUCACAGCACUGCAGCCGAUGAUACACCAGUGGUGGGUCUUAAUGUCAUCCAGACAUUAAGUGUGUGUGUAUAGGUGGAUACUGUGUUCUCACCUCUCCUAUGGUCUCUCUACUCAGUGAUCCAGGAAUGUCCUGUUUGUUGAGUAGCUCCUGGUGUGUGUGUGUGUGUGUGUGUGUGUGUGUGUGUGUGUGUGUGUGUGUGUGAGAGAGAGAGAGAGAGAGAGACACGGGUCAAAGUACGAGGAAAUGGAGACAGUUGAUGAAAUCAAAGAAUGGAACAAAACUAGCAAAAGUUGUAGUAGAAGACAAAGACUGGUCCACUAAUGGACUCUUUUUUUGGACAAGGAGAUUAAUUUGGGAAAUCCAUUUGUAAUAUUGAGGAGAAAGCAGUGGGAAAUGUGGAUUCAAUCAAGGUGACUAGAAGCUCUGUUAUUUUGGUUAAUUGGGUCGAUGAAGAACAGAAGAAGCGUGCACUAAUCUGGAAAAUUGUCCACGUCAGAAGUAACAUGUAUUGACCUUCGGAGCAGGGCGUCUGCCAAAGGAGGAAAAGCUGCAGUCCAAGUGUCCAAGAAGUCCAAUUAGCUGGGUAUCAUAUCUGCUGCAGCCAAGAAGAUUUUGGGGCUUGAAGACUUGAAGACUACAGCAGAAGCACUACAGGUCUUGCCCUCCCAGGAGGCUUCUGGGGGUGUGUUGGACCUGGUGAGAAGGAGGUUUUUAUAGAAAAGCAGGUUGAUUUUUAUGUAGUUAAUUUCUUUUUUGGUCGUUUGUAUGAAAUUUUAUUUGUUCCCGAAUGUUUUCCUUUUCGUGAUCCUUAUUAUCCACCCGCACAGUAGGUGGCGGAAUGCACAAUGUUGCGAACGCCAUUAUACCAUAGAAGAAGAAAAAGGAAAGGAAGCUUACUUGGUUAUUCAUGAGAGGGUUUUUGUGGGUUAAGUCCUCCGUGUGUGUAAACGGUUUCAUUUCUCUUCAAGAUGCGGACGACUCGAGAGAGAGAGAGAGAGAGAGAGAGAGAGAGAGAGAGAGAGAGAGAGAGAAUACCCCGCUCAGAAAUGCAGGACAGAUGCCGUGAAGUCCAGCAGAGUGACACGUCUGCAUUACUUGUGACAUGACUUCAAGGCAUCUGAACAGAAUCUCCACUUCCAUUCUGGAAUAGGAAUGUGUGCUGAAUACCUGAUUCCAGAUCACGAGACUGAUGCGCUUUGUGAAAAUCCAGACGGGGGGGAGGAAGUUUCCUGACGGGAUUAACACAACCUUCACUGGGUUUGGGUGCUGUGGUCAAUGGCAUUGCAGCGUGGACUGCAACAUACUGGUUCUUCUGUAUGUGGCUGAACAGGGAGACGUGAUGCCAACUACACUGGUCCUGAUGGUGGUACCAGACAAGUCACUAGAAGAUGCCUGUUACUGAACUACCUCAAGGUCCUCUUCCAGGUCCUGACUGUUGUACCAGACUGGCCACUAGAAGGAAGCUCUUUGCUGUGACAGUGAAUGAAGUUGAUGUCCUUGUGGGUCUGCAGUCUUCAGGAAGGUCCUGACUGUUCCAGCCUGGCCACUGGAGAACUGUUGCUGCACGACCUCAAGGUUUCUGCCCCUCUGGUUGAGGUCCUGGUGUCUGCAGGGUUUGGAAAGGUGUGACUUUAGACGGAAUCUUAAGGCUCCUUCCACAUGAAGCAUUCUGGAAUGUUGUAAAUGAUGCUGUCAUUUCCAUUUACAGUCUGUUGUCAGAUCUGUGUUCUGGGGCUGGAUCAAGGUCUGGCCUCCCAUCGGUCCUCCUGUGGGUUGGGCAGACACUGACAAGCCUGCUCUUAUGCUCGGGGGCAGGGGUAAGGUGGGCUGCCUGCCUGGAGGGAGGGUGUCUGGGUGGGGGCUUGACCCCAGACCCUGGACUGCUGGAUGGCUACAAUGACUGAACUAGUGUUCUGAUCUGGUUUCAGAAUGUUCUGGAUGUAGUCUAGUGAUCUAAGAUGGGGAUUAUUUGGUUUUAAAACUGUUCUGUUUGUUUAGAUCUGGUUGGCUGCUGAAGUGUUGCUGUGCUGGUGGAGUUUGAAGCUCUCCUGUUUUACACCUGCAAGACCUCUUGCACUCCUGAUUGGUCAGCAAGGAAGUGGGGGAAACCAGGCCAAGUCAAUUCAACCCCACGACUGUGUUUUGAUGUAUGAAUAAAUCUACAAAUGUG